AAAUGCUUCAGACUUUUCACAACCAUUUCAGCCACGGUGCUCCCUAUACUAUCACUUAUGUUCCACUUCAGUCCCUGUAGUUUCAAAUGUGUCCUUUUCAAUUCGUUUACUUUUCAAGUUCUGGGUUCGGCAAAUUGUUCGUGUUCUUUGAUCCCUCUUUGAAAAGAGGGAGAGAGGAGAGACAGAGACAGAGGGGAAAUGGGGAGCAUACCCGUGUGGCA
Molecule: long non-coding RNA, 221 nt
Filed under: Actinidia chinensis (golden kiwifruit)
Lineage: Eukaryota; Viridiplantae; Streptophyta; Magnoliopsida; Ericales; Actinidiaceae
Description: long non-coding RNA (ACHI_LNC000766)
Source: RNAcentral